GAUGAAGAACGCAGUGAAAUGCGAUACGUAAUGUGAAUUGCAGAUUUCAGUGAAUCAUCGAAUCUUUGAACGCACAUUGCGCCCGCUAGUAUUCUGGCGGGCAUGCCUGUUCGAGCGUCAUUUCAACCAUCAAGCCCUGUGCUUGUGUUGGAGCCCUGCGGCUGCCGCAGGCUCCCAAACCCAGUGGCGGGCUCGUCGUCGUACCGAGUGCAGUAAACAUACCACGCUCAGGGCACGCGACGGGUGACCGGCCGUAAAACCCCCCCCUUCUCAAGGUUGACCUCGGAUCAGGUAGGAAUACCCGCUGAACUUAAGCAUAUCAAUAAGCGGAGGA
This 334-nucleotide unclassified non-coding RNA is filed under the name soil metagenome. RNAcentral describes it as "partial contains 5.8S ribosomal RNA, internal transcribed spacer 2, and large subunit ribosomal RNA". The stretch from base 1 to 120 matches the Rfam family "5.8S ribosomal RNA", at positions 35 to 154 of the family's 154-position model. The record is from RNAcentral.